UCCGGUUCAUCCGUUCAUUUGCAGAUCAUAAAAAAUGUCAGAAGACAAGAACCAGCUGAACCGGCCUAAUAACGAGGGACCUAGAAUCAAGACAAGUUCCAUUGUUGAUGACUAUGUUGUACAAUGGAACCAGAAGCUUGGCACAGGCAUCAGUGGCCCAGUAAGGCCAUGUACAAAAAGGAACAAUUCCAAAAAAUUUGCCCUGAAAUGUCUGCUGGAUUCCCCCAAAGCUCGGACAGAGGUUAACCUGCAUACAAUGUGUAGUGGCCAUGACAACAUUGUGUCUGUGUUCGAUGUAUAUGCAAAUGAUAUACAGUUUCCAGGGGAACCACAUGCAAGACCCAGACUGCUGGUGGUGCUGGAGUACAUGCAAGGGGGAGAACUCUUCGACAGAAUCAGUAAAGAAAGUGGGUUCACAGAAAGAAAGGCUGCCAAAUACUUAAGACAGAUUGCCAAUGCAGUGUUAAGGUGUCACACCUUGAAUAUUGCCCACAGGGACCUGAAACCUGAGAAUCUAUUGAUUAGAGACAAUACAGAGGAUAGUUUGGUGAAACUGACAGAUUUUGGAUUUGCUAAAAUCGACGAUGGAAAUCUACAAACACCUCACUUUACCCCCUACUACGUAGCUCCACAGGUUUUAGAAGCUCAUAAAUAUCAAGCAAAGCAGAAGAGAGGAAUCAUACCGACCUCGAAACCAUACACCUACGAUAAGAGCUGUGACAUGUGGAGUAUGGGAGUGAUUCUGUACAUCAUGUUGUGUGGUUACCCUCCCUUCUACUCUGAGACACCCACCAGACAGAUCACGUCCGCCAUGAGGAAGAAGAUUCUCUCAGGACAGUACGAGUUCCCAGAGGAUGACUGGCAGUUUAUCUCAGAUUCUGCUAAAGAUGUUGUGAAAAGUUUACUGCAUGUAGAUCCCUCAUUCAGAAUGAACAUCCAGGAAUUACUUGGCCAUCCCUGGUUAAACGAAGCUCCAGACAACAAGCUACAAUCACCUGCUGUGUUCAUGGACAAGAUUGGGAUGGAGGACAUCAAGUUAGCACACUCUCAGCACCUAACAACCAUGAGGAUACCGGAUAACAAUGUCACACUCAAACCUCUCACAGACACAGAAAACCCGAUAUUUCGCAAACGGAAAUUAAGACAAACUAGUAUAGAAGAUACCAAGGAUAGUUUGGAACCCUCACCUCAGAAGGUCAAGGCUGACAACCUCAAGGUCAGAGCCCUAAGGGACAUCAUUGCCUACUGCGUCCUUCCCCCUAAAGUUGAUGAUGAUGAAAGUGUACUGAACAAUUUAGUGACCAAGGCCAUGCAGGAAUUAGAAGUCAAAAAUGGAAUUUGUAGUGUCCUUGAUUCAUGGAAAUGGGAUGGUAGGAAAUUCCAGAAAAAGGUAGAAAAAGCUAAAUUAGCACAGGAACUGAGUUUGUUAGUAAGAAGUAUAACAGAAUCUAAUUCACAUACGGACGAACCUGACUCCUGACAAGGAAUAACCUUUGAACUCGAUGAUUUAUAUUCUUACCAUCCCCGCACAAUGACAAUCCUGACUGCUGGCAAGGAAUAAUCUUGGAACUUCAUGUCUGAUAUGUAAGAUCCUCCUUCAUCAUACUCAAACUACAAAACAAAGAUCAAAGUACAUUUUCUUUGUCAUCAUAUGAUCAAAUACCUCAUCGUAGAAAUAUCUGUUUUUAAUGGUGAUAACCUUCUUUGAAACACUUCUGUUUCACAUUUACUAGAAUUCUGUUUCACAUUUACUAGAAGUCAAUUUAUAAUACUUCUUUUUUUUUAAAUUCACUAAAACUCACUAGAAGUCAAUCAGACAUAUACGUGUUUUUGAAUAAUAUUUUUGGAUAACUUACACAAGGUUUGUAAUAUGAAUGUUUGUGAACUUAAAUGAUUUUCUUUUUAAUUGAGAUGGAUAUAACUUACAUUCUUUUGAGUUUUUUUGCUUUUGAUUGAUGAAUCAAAAUACCUUGUAACUUUAUAAGCAGAUCUAUCAUCUGCAAAUUCCUCAUUUCGUUAUGAAGCACAAGUUGCCAUUGUUAAUAAUGUCAUUGACUCUGACAGAACCCAACAAACCAUGAAAUGGAUUAUCAAUUAUUUCACAAAUGAUAGCAUGAUCCUGAAAGGUCAAUGUAAUUCUGCAUAAUUGUUAAUGUUACUGACAUUUUUAAACUACAGCAAAGUAACACAGAUUUCUUAAAACACACGAAAUACUACAUCCUCUGAGUGAUGGCUUCACAAGUCAGGAAAAGAUUGAUGCAUACAAAAGGCGCAAAUUUACAUAUGACGGGGAAAGAAAAAAGGUAUAGGAGUCACCUGCCCAACCACGUGGGUUAUCUUUGGGUACUCCAAGAUUAAGACCCCAGCACACUAACAUCCUGGCCAACAAGGGUGAUUUAUAUAAACACUUAAACAUGUAAACCGGAUAGUUGAAGACUAUGUUGAGUAUUAAUGUAAAUUGUCGAUGAUUUUAAUCUUUAUAAGAAAACAGAUAAGGGUUAGAGUAGGACAAAUGUUGUGUUUGUCAGCAUUUAACAUCUUACGUGGAAAUCAUGACUGUUAGAGCAAGUCUGUGAAAAUCCAAUCAGCUGUGACGAAAAAACAUAGAUGGCAAAGCAGAGAGUUCCCUGUCGAGAAAUUAGGGAAUGCUGAUACAGCUUAGCAGUGGGUCAUUGCUGUUGGUAAUGUUACAGAUAGAGAUAAGUGGCUUACAUAGAAGUGGGUGUAGUGUCCUUCAUUUAAAGUUCCGGGGGAUAAAUACUAUCUUAUCAAACAUAGCACAUCAUCAACACAUCUGUAAGGGAAAUCAAACGACGUUGUAAGGUCUUUGUUACUGGUCCUGAUAGACUUUUUUUUUUAGCCUUGUAUGAAAAAACAACAACCUCAAAAGAUAUUUUCAACCAGGCACUCACAAAUUCACCUCUUCAUCCUUAGUAUAUGUAUCAUCAUUGCCAUUGUUGGGUCGUUGACAAGCUAUGCUUCAAAGUAUUUAACAACCAUCUGUAACUGUGUUUUUCUUGGAAAUGAAUGCAAUCAUUCAGCUUGGUAAGAGGCUUUGUUUACAGAGUACAGGGUGGAAAAAGUAAAAUAUUAUUGCAGAUGAAACAUUUUUGAUGACAAAAAAAUUAAUAUGUUCAAUAUUUACUUAAACAUAUUUUGAGUUCAAAAACUCAAUAUUCAAUUAAAUCCAUCUGUGAAGUAUACAGGAUCACAAUACAAACGCAACCCUGAUUGGUGUUAGAAGUUUGGAUAAUGGCUUGGCUGAGUCAAUAUCAUAGCCAUUCAUAAAACGAUAUGUAAAAGUAUUAUUUCAAAAUUUUGUAAUCUAAUACAAAGGUAUGCCUGUAUUCUUAUUUUUAAGAAAGACGGUGAUACAAAAGCAGAUUUAGGUAAUAUUUUAUCUUUGAAAAUGUGCAAAAUGUAGAAGCAGAGCUACUUUGGAUAUCAAGCAAGCGUAGUCAUUUUUCAUUGGUCAUGGUAUUCACAGCUGGUAUGAGUGCCAUAUGUUUUGGUAAGGUUAUUAUCAGUAUUUGUAGACAGGGAUACAGCUAUUAGAUGCUUUUUCUGCCGACACUAACACAUACUUGGGCGCAGAUCGUGAGUGUGGUUUAGAAGUAAGGUCAAGAAGCAUAGACUUGUGUUUGGUUUUCAUUUUGAAUUUCGAGCCGAUUAUUCUUACUGGAAUGAUGGACCUGGCAGACUUAACCCACUCUGGAAUUGUACCUGGUUCAGCAUGCUUUCGACUCACUCGGAAUCCAUUGAAGCAAAUACAAUGUUCGAACAUGGUGGACACCGGAUGGUUCCUGUAUCGUCCUCAAACGUAACAUUGUAUUCUGUUGGACUGUUGUAACGGCUUUGUCCAUGGCUGCGUCUCCUGUUAGGCGUGAGCAACGAUCUUACACUUAUACGAUGACAUCCGGGACUGAUGUUUACACGGGAUCUACACGGUAAUACAUCCAUAUGACGUAGCUAUAUAUAUGCUUGUCUUUUAUGACGUUAGGUGUUACGAGGACGUUAACCUAGACCAAAACUAAGGCAGUAUACUAAUGUAUAAUGAUGUAUUUGCCCUUUUUUGUUGAUGUUUGUAUUGCUAAUACAGGUGAAAUACUCUAUUGUAGUAUCAUCUUGUUUUAUCAUAGCUGUACAUUUGCAAAUGUAACCAAUUUAAGUGAUUUCAAUAGAAGAAACAUUAAGUAUCUUAAGUGUCUGUUUAAAGCUUAGUAAUGUAUAACUUUAUACUUUGUAUUGUUCAAUUCUAAGACAGCUACCAAGCAAGACAAUUAAUUUCAUCUGGAUACACUGUAAACACAUGUCAACACCUGGCAAUUAAUAAACACUGAGAGCUGAGACUAGAACCAAAAUAUAUAAAAACACAUGUCAACGACUGGCAAUUAAUAUACACAGAGAGCUGAGACUAGAACCAAAAUA
Molecule: unclassified non-coding RNA, 4428 nt
Filed under: Mizuhopecten yessoensis (Yesso scallop)
Lineage: Eukaryota; Metazoa; Mollusca; Bivalvia; Pectinida; Pectinidae
Description: mAP kinase-activated protein kinase 5-like, transcript variant X2
Source: RNAcentral